GACGAACGCUGGCGGCGUGCUUAACACAUGCAAGUCGAACGGAAAGGCCCUGCUUUUGUGGGGUGCUCGAGGGGCGAACGGGUGAGUAACCCGUGAGUAACCUGCCCUGGACUGGGUGAUAACUUCAGAAAACUGGGGCUAAUACCGGAUAGGUGCUCCUGCUGCAUGGUGGGGGUUGGAAAGUUUCGUCGUUUGGGGAUGUACUUAGGGCUUAUCAGCUUGUUGGGGGGAUAAUGGCCUACCAAGCCGUUGAUGAGUAGCCGGACUGAGAGGUUGAUCAGUCACAUGGGAAGUGGGACACGGACCAGACUACUACGGGAGGCAGCAGUGGGGAACAUUGGACAAUGGGCGAAAGCCUGAUCCAGCCAUGCCGCGUGUGUGAAGAAGGUCUUCGGAUUGUAAAGCACGUUAAGUUGUGAGGAAGGGCAGUAAGUUGAUACCUUGCGGUUGUGACGGUACCGACAGAAUAAGCACCGGCUAACUUCGUG
Molecule: ribosomal RNA, 488 nt
Filed under: uncultured bacterium
Lineage: Bacteria
Description: partial 16S ribosomal RNA
Rfam family: Bacterial small subunit ribosomal RNA
Source: RNAcentral